RNAcentral lists this unclassified non-coding RNA (374 nucleotides) under uncultured bacterium. Its description in RNAcentral is "contains 16S-23S intergenic spacer region". The record is from RNAcentral.
UCCGGUUUGUCACCGGCAGUCUCAUUAGAGUGCCCUUGCGUAGCAACUAAUGAUAAGGGUUGCGCUCGUUGCGGGACUUAACCCAACAUCUCACGACACGAGCUGACGACGGCCAUGCAGCACCUGUGUUCAGAUUCUCUUUCGAGCACCCCCACAUCUCUGCAGGGUCUCUGACAUGUCAAGGGUAGGUAAGGUUUUUCGCGUUGCAUCGAAUUAAACCACAUCAUCCACCGCUUGUGCGGGUCCCCGUCAAUUCCUUUGAGUUUCAGCCUUGCGGCCGUACUCCCCAGGCGGGGUGCUUAAUGCGUUAGCUUCGGCACGGACGGGGUCGAUACCCCAUACAGCUAGUACUCAUCGUUUACGGCGUGGACUAC